UAAACUUCCGGCUUUUCAGAAUUUCGCCACAUCACUUUAACAAAAUUAUUGUUUACAUCCUUCUAAGUUUAACAUCGACAUCAGUUUGUAACCAUCCACAUCACUUUGUAAAUUCCUCCGCCCCUUUCUUCUUCAUUCGUCUCCCCUACUAUCUUCCUUUCUUCUUCAUUCGUCUCCCACUGUUCCUUUGAUUCUCCCGACGACUUCAUCCAAAAAUAUAGGAUUUCGAUUUCUCUCACCAAAAACUUUUGCGCUCUAUUUCCGCCACCAAACGCCUGUAACCAAGUGCAUGUAAUCUGAGGAAUUUCGGUAUGUUGUUGGUUGUUUCAACCCAUCGCCUUCUCUACCGGUCGAAUUUCUUUUCAUCGGCCACAUGUUUCACAGUUUAUGCUUCCACGUUUUCUCCACCGUCUUUCCUCUUAUCCUCUGCUUCACCAACAAAUCAAAACCCAAAACAAUCUCAAUAACCAUCCAAACACAUCACCAUUCGGACCAAAACAAUCUCAAUUAUCCUUCAAAAAUCAAAAUAAUCAGCGAGCGAACCCCAUAAUUCGAAAUCGAAAUCGAAAGAGGAGCAGGAACCAAACGAAAUUCAACGUGCGUUCUUCAAAUAUUUCUAAAUUUCCUGACAAGUCAGGAUGAUUGCAGGCAUCUAAGGCAAAGUAUAAAGUAUGCAUGGUAGCAGUGUAUUACACGUAAGUGGAAGUUAUGGGAAAAAGAGAUUUUUGAGGAACUUGUACCCCAUGGCGCAGAUCCAUCACAGUUUAGGCCUACCAAGGAAUUAUCUUUUGUGAAACAUCACAUUGUUUCUUUUACCAGUACUCCAACAAUAUUUUACCUUGUAAGGGAGUUAUAUAUAACAAAGUGAAAUAGUUUUAUAAUUAUUAUAUCUGAAAUUUAUGUGCAAACUAAUCACUAAUAGUUUUUUAAAUUAAAAAAACAUACACAAAGUAUAUAAUUUCAAUAGUUAGUUUUUAAGAAAACUAUGAGUAUGAUAGUUAUAAUGAUUCACACUCAACAAAGAGAAAACCUAAAAAAAAUUAUAGAACAUUUACCAGCAUCAAUACUAACUGUAUGGGCCUAAGAACAAAACCCACUUCAAAACAGAAAAAAAACCCCAAAAACAACCCGACCCGUGGUUCACCACGGGUUCACUUACUAGUUAAGAUUAAAUAAAAGAAGCGGAUCAAUUAAUCCCAAAACAGAAACCAAGAAAGCACGGUCGAGGAUCACUUUGUAUAGAGAAUAGUAAUCGGUGGAGAUAGAGUGAUAGAACGCGAAGAGAUAAAGUGAUAGAGAUCAAGGCAACGUAGUGGGUGCAUCACUGCAUCAGCGAGCUGUGUAAGCAUUUCAUUGGAGAACAAAACGGCAGGGAAGAAGAAGCUCACACGUAUACGUGACCAAGACUCCUCAACAAUUUGACAAGGGAUUAUAUGUAAAAUAUUAGGAUUGUCACACCCCCGAACCAGACGGCGGAAACGUCCGGGGGCUGUUGUGACUCGAUUGAAUACCAUUACAAUGAAUAUACAUGAAACAUAACAUCAUUCAUCACCAAGCAUUUGAAUAUUACAACUGAUAGU
Lactuca sativa (garden lettuce) is the source of this 1580-nucleotide long non-coding RNA. RefSeq lists it as uncharacterized. The record is from RefSeq and is a predicted model, not a curated record. NCBI's taxonomy places the organism in Eukaryota, Viridiplantae, Streptophyta, Magnoliopsida, Asterales, Asteraceae.